AGUCUUAUAUUCAUUUAUGAUAUUAGAAUGCAAUUCUGAAGGAGUAUUAAGAAUAAUACUAAGGCUU
This 67-nucleotide transfer RNA is filed under the name Rhyparobia maderae (Madeira cockroach). RNAcentral describes it as "tRNA-Cys". The record is from RNAcentral. Lineage: Eukaryota; Metazoa; Arthropoda; Insecta; Blattodea; Blaberidae. RNAcentral also lists the same sequence under 1 other name.